This 214-nucleotide unclassified non-coding RNA is filed under the name plant metagenome. RNAcentral's name for it is "partial contains small subunit ribosomal RNA, internal transcribed spacer 1, and 5.8S ribosomal RNA". The record is from RNAcentral.
GUUCCGUAGGUGAACCUGCGGAAGGAUCAUUCAUAAUCAGUGUUCUACUGCACUUUUUAAAAAUAGUACUCACCUUGUGUGCAAUGUUGUGUGAACUUCUACUUGUAGAAGUCCACACCUACACCAACCUAUAACCUUGAACCACUUUGUCUGAAAAACUAUUAUGAAUACUUAAUUCAAAAUACAACUUUCAACAACGGAUCUCUUGGCUCUC